UGGUUAUUACCAAGGCUUUUAGAAUGCAGUUUCUCAUUUGCUCUGGACAUGACCAGAGGAAAAAUUUCCUAUUACAUUUUAUUUCUACUACCUUGUUAAAAUUCAGCCUAUUAGGAACAUGU
This is a small nucleolar RNA of Manis pentadactyla (Chinese pangolin), 122 nucleotides long. RefSeq annotates it as small nucleolar RNA SNORA32. The record is from RefSeq and is a predicted model, not a curated record. The transcript has a single exon. NCBI's taxonomy places the organism in Eukaryota, Metazoa, Chordata, Mammalia, Pholidota, Manidae.